CAGAGUUAAAAACUCACCAAACCCACUGUAAAUGUACCUAUUUCAGCCCCUCCGGCAGGCGGCCCCAGGGCGGGGCCUCAGCCUACGGCGCCUGCCGAAGGUGGCGCAAAUUUGCUCUUACAAGUAAAUCUGAGUCUAAAGACAAAAUAUUA
This 152-nucleotide unclassified non-coding RNA is filed under the name uncultured Sordariomycetes. RNAcentral's name for it is "sequence contains ITS1". The record is from RNAcentral. Lineage: Eukaryota; Fungi; Ascomycota; Sordariomycetes.